RNAcentral lists this ribosomal RNA (201 nucleotides) under uncultured bacterium. RNAcentral's name for it is "partial 16S ribosomal RNA". It matches the Rfam family "Bacterial small subunit ribosomal RNA", at positions 1300 to 1500 of the family's 1533-position model. The record is from RNAcentral.
GCAGUCUGCAACUCGAGUGCAUGAAGCUGGAAUCGCUAGUAAUCGCAGGUCAGCAUACUGCGGUGAAUACGUUCCCGGGUCUUGUACACACCGCCCGUCACACCAUGGGAGCCGGAAAUGCCCGAAGCCAGUGACCCAACCUUAGGGAGGGAGCUGUCGAAGGUGGAGCCGGUAACUGGGGUGAAGUCGUAACAAGGUACC